RNAcentral lists this transfer RNA (75 nucleotides) under Eubacteriales Family XIII. Incertae Sedis bacterium. Its description in RNAcentral is "tRNA-Gln". It matches the Rfam family "tRNA". Rfam says of the family: Transfer RNA (tRNA) molecules are approximately 80 nucleotides in length. Their secondary structure includes four short double-helical elements and three loops (D, anti-codon, and T loops). The record is from RNAcentral. Lineage: Bacteria; Bacillati; Bacillota; Clostridia; Peptostreptococcales; Anaerovoracaceae.
UGGGGUAUCGCCAAGCGGUAAGGCAAUGGAUUCUGAUUCCAUCAUUCGGAGGUUCGAAUCCUCCUACCCUAGCCA